AUUGAACGCUGGCGGAAUGCUUUACACAUGCAAGUCGAACGGCAGCACGGGGCAACCUGGUGGCGAGUGGCGAACGGGUGAGUAAUACAUCGGAACGUGCCCAAUCGUGGGGGAUAACGUAGCGAAAGUUACGCUAAUACCGCAUACGAUCUACGGAUGAAAGCGGGGGAUCGCAAGACCUCGCGCGAAUGGAGCGGCCGAUGUCAGAUCAGGUAGUUGGUGGGGUAAAGGCUCACCAAGCCAACGAUCUGUAGCUGGUCUGAGAGGAUGAUCCGCCACACUGGAACUGAGACACGGUCCAGACUCCUACGGGAGGCAGCAGUGGGGAAUUUUGGACAAUGGGCGCAAGCCUGAUCCAGCCAUGCCGCGUGAGUGAAGAAGGCCU
This 385-nucleotide ribosomal RNA is filed under the name uncultured bacterium. Its description in RNAcentral is "bacterial SSU rRNA". It matches the Rfam family "Bacterial small subunit ribosomal RNA", at positions 30 to 417 of the family's 1533-position model. The record is from RNAcentral.